Molecule: ribosomal RNA, 301 nt
Filed under: uncultured bacterium
Lineage: Bacteria
Description: partial 16S ribosomal RNA
Rfam family: Bacterial small subunit ribosomal RNA
Source: RNAcentral
CAGUCGCCACGGUAAUACGGAAGGUCCAGGCGUUAUCCGGAUUUAUUGGGUUUAAAGGGAGUGUAGGCGGUCUGUUAAGCGUGUUGUGAAAUUUAGGUGCUCAACAUUUAACUUGCAGCGCGAACUGGCGGACUUGAGUGCACGCAACGUAUGCGGAAUUCAUGGUGUAGCGGUGAAAUGCUUAGAUAUCAUGACGAACUCCGAUUGCGAAGGCAGCGUACGGGAGUGUUACUGACGCUUAAGCUCGAAGGUGCGGGUAUCGAACAGGAUUAGAUACCCCCGUAGUCCCUGUCUCUUAUAC